Molecule: unclassified non-coding RNA, 226 nt
Filed under: uncultured fungus
Lineage: Eukaryota; Fungi
Description: sequence contains ITS1, 5.8S rRNA gene
Rfam family: 5.8S ribosomal RNA (bases 178-226)
Source: RNAcentral
UCUCCGUAGGUGAACCUGCGGAGGGAUCAUUACUGAGUGAGGGUUUAACCGCCCGACCUCCAACCCUUUGUGAACACAACUUGUUGCUUCGGGGGCGACCCUGCCGUCCGCGGCUGAGCGCCCCCGGAGGCCAUUAAACACUGCAUCAUUGCGUCGGAGUUAAAGUAAAUUAAACAAAACUUUCAACAACGGAUCUCUUGGUUCCAGCAUCGAUGAAGAACGCAGC